UUUUCCUCCAUUUAACAUUGUUCCCUGGGUUAAACUGGCAAGUAUGCAGGUCACUGAUAAAUGCACAGCUGAGACUCCCUCUUUGGCUGAAGAAUCCAGCCAUGAUCCCCAUCAGCUAUGACUAUUAUUUAUGUGAAUGAGGAAGCAGUGAAAUAGUUUCUUUGCAGAGUAGCCUACAGCCUUGCUACUCAAAGUGUGAUCCUUUGGCAAGUAGCGUCAGUAUCACCUUGGGAGCCUAUUUGAAAUGAAGCAUCUCAGGUCCUACCCCAGACCACCUAAAGCAGAAUGUGCAUUUUAACAAAAUCGUUAGAUGUGUAAGCACAGUACAAUUUAAGAAACAGUCUCCUAGAGACCCCAAGCAGGAUCAGAACAUGAACCCCCACAUACAGAUUACCAGGCAGACAGCUCAAAAAAGGACACCUAGGGCAAUCUUGAAGGAGGACUGGAGCCCAAAGAUAAGAAAGGUAAGAUAGUCAGCCCAAGGGUGGUGAAGGUGUUGGAGGCACAGAAAAAUCAGAAGUGACAUAUGGAUUAUACCAGGUCUAGAGCUAGAACUCUGAAAGGAACAAGCAGGACCAAAAUCAGUUAUGGACCACGAGUUAGUGUAUGAUGGAUCAUGGCUUUGGGCUCAGAAGAGUUUUAGAGCUAGACUUCCUUAUAAUUCAAAUCUUAGCUCAGUUGUAUAUUGUUCCAUAAUAAACCAUCCUGUAACUUACUGGGUCAAAACAAUAACUCUUUAUUUUCCAUAAUGUGUAGGCAAUUUAGGCAGGGCUCAGCCUAGGAUGGCUCACCUGGGCUCACUCAUAUGUCCACAGUUAGCUUGCAAAUAGGCUGAAGGAUGGUUGGUCCCACAUAGC
RNAcentral lists this long non-coding RNA (857 nucleotides) under Homo sapiens (human). RNAcentral's name for it is "HSALNT0072308". Lineage: Eukaryota; Metazoa; Chordata; Mammalia; Primates; Hominidae. The record is from RNAcentral.